GAUCUGGCUCAGGAUGAACGCUGGCGGCGUGCCUAAUACAUGCAAGUCGAGCGAAGCAUUUUAAAGGAAGUUUUCGGAUGGAAUUUGGAAUGACUGAGCGGCGGACGGGUGAGUAACGCGUGGGUAACCUGCCUCAUACAGGGGGAUAACAGUUAGAAAUGACUGCUAAUACCGCAUAAGCACACAGUACCGCAUGGUACAGUGUGAAAAACUCCGGUGGUAUGAGAUGGACCCGCGU
This 238-nucleotide ribosomal RNA is filed under the name uncultured bacterium. RNAcentral describes it as "partial 16S ribosomal RNA". It matches the Rfam family "Bacterial small subunit ribosomal RNA", at positions 15 to 236 of the family's 1533-position model. The record is from RNAcentral.